RNAcentral lists this ribosomal RNA (328 nucleotides) under uncultured Neocallimastigales. Its description in RNAcentral is "partial large subunit ribosomal RNA". The record is from RNAcentral. Lineage: Eukaryota; Fungi; Neocallimastigomycota; Neocallimastigomycetes; Neocallimastigales.
GUUGUUUUUCCGAAAAUCAAUUACGAAUGGCUUGAUUUUGUGUUGUAUUGACCUUAUCAGCUUUCUUCACUUUUUUCGAGUCUUUCUUAAUGCACUUUUCGGUUAACAAGUCAACAUCAAUUUCUUUUGUUGUAAAGGAGUAUUCGGAAGGUGGCUUUCUUUUCGGAGAAAGUGUUUAUAGCCCUAUACUUCUACAAUCGGAGAGAUUGAGGUCUGCAGCGUAGAUCCUUCGGGGUUAGAUACAUUUGUGCUAAGUUGUAGCUUUUCAUAGACAACUUGUUGACUAUGUUUAGUCAUGCGGCUUACUCGCUUAUGCUAUUUUACCUAC